AAUCAACGCUGGCGGCGUGCCUCAGACAUGCAAGUCGAACGAGAAAGUCCCCUUCGGGGGAUAAGUAAAGUGGCGCACGGGUGAGUAACACGUAGGUAAUCUACCUUCGGGUGGGGAAUAACCCAGGGAAACUUGGGCUAACACCGCAUAAUGCAGCGGCACCACAUGGUGACAGUUGUUAAAGCGGGGGAUUUUAGGACCUCGCGCCUGAAGAGGAGCCUGCGGCGGAUUAGCUAGUUGGUGAGGUAACGGCUCACCAAGGUAACGAUCCGUAGCCGGCCUGAGAGGGCGGUCGGCCACACUGACACUGACAUACGGGUCAGACUCCUACGGGAGGCAGCAGUCGGGAAUUUUGGGCAAUGGGCGAAAGCCUGACCCAGCAACGCCGCGUGAAGGAUGAAAUCCCUCGGGAUGUAAACUUCGCAAGAAUGGGAAGAAUUAGUAGGGGUUAAUACCCCCUAUGAUGACGGUACCAUUUGUAAGCUCCGGCUAACUCCGUGCCA
This 503-nucleotide ribosomal RNA is filed under the name uncultured bacterium. RNAcentral's name for it is "bacterial SSU rRNA". It matches the Rfam family "Bacterial small subunit ribosomal RNA", at positions 32 to 510 of the family's 1533-position model. The record is from RNAcentral.